GGGUAAUGGCACAGCUAGCUACUGGGUGACUUUAUUCACCCGCUUCGGCUGUUAUCAGUCCAUACAAUGGGCGUUAUUAGCACAAACCAGUCCCAUAGAUAUGGGCCAUCUCCUGCUAGAUUGUUCAGAAGGUUGUUCUCAUCCAUCCAGAUGGAGGAUCACUAACAGGAGCGUGGAAGACUCCAGAAUCCACUCUGGCUGGAAUCCGGUGGAUACAGCAGUGUUUACAGUUCUCCACAGUCACUGUCCACAUGGGUCAGUGGGACCAAGAAGCACUCUGCUAAUGUGGGACUCUGACCAGCAACAUCCAGCAGGACCCAGACAGCAUUUUCUAUCUCCCAGCUGGAGUUUUUGUUUGUCAGUGACUGGAGAGUCAGAUUUUUGUUGAGCUUCACACUUGCAGAGGUAAGUCAGUUUGCAGAGAUCCCUCCCACCCUGGCUUUUAUGUGCUAGAUUUCUUAUCUGAAAGAGUAAUAUUUCAGUGACUGCUGCUUAUACCACAGGUUAAUACACUCUACUGAUCCCUGAUGGGAGAAUCAUCAAUUUUGGCAACAAAGAAGCCUGGUGGAUGUUUGUUUACAGUCUGAUGAUGGGACAUCAUGCUCUGCAUCUUCAAAGUUUGCCUCCUCAUUAUUAUUCAUACCCAGUAAUGUGAAGUAUGCUUAUAUCUACUAUAACUGAACCAACCUG
Astatotilapia calliptera (eastern happy) is the source of this 690-nucleotide long non-coding RNA. The record is from Ensembl. NCBI's taxonomy places the organism in Eukaryota, Metazoa, Chordata, Actinopteri, Cichliformes, Cichlidae.